This 288-nucleotide ribosomal RNA is filed under the name uncultured bacterium. RNAcentral describes it as "partial 16S ribosomal RNA". It matches the Rfam family "Bacterial small subunit ribosomal RNA", at positions 773 to 1060 of the family's 1533-position model. The record is from RNAcentral.
GUGGAUUAGAUACCCUAGUAGUCCACGCCGUAAACGAUGGGCGCUAGGUGUGGGCGGUGUCGACUCCGUCCGUGCCGAAGCUAACGCAUUAAGCGCCCCGCCUGGGGAGUACGGCCGCAAGGCUAAAACUCAAAGGAAUUGACGGGGGCCCGCACAAGCAGCGGAGCAUGUGGUUUAAUUCGACGCAACGCGAAGAACCUUACCAGGGCUUGACAUGCACGGGAAUUGCGUAGAAAUACGUAAGCCCUUCGGGGCUCGUGCACAGGUGGUGCAUGGCUGUCGACAACU